This 4338-nucleotide ribosomal RNA is filed under the name Pseudomonadota bacterium. RNAcentral's name for it is "23S ribosomal RNA". The stretch from base 1 to 3369 matches the Rfam family "Bacterial large subunit ribosomal RNA". The record is from RNAcentral. RNAcentral also lists the same sequence under 1 other name. Lineage: Bacteria; Pseudomonadati; Pseudomonadota.
UCACCCACCGCGGAAUCCAUAGGCGGUGCGGAGGGAACCCGGGGAACUGAAACAUCUCAGUACCCGGAGGAAAAGAAAUCAACCGAGAUUCCCUGAGUAGUGGCGAGCGAAAGGGGAGGUAGCCCAAACCCCGCGGGUGCCAAGCCCGCAGGCGUUGCCCGCGGGGGGUUGUGGGACGCGGUCGGACCGGGCUGCGGACCGGUCGGGAAGUUACCAAUCCCCUCUCUAGGCGAACCGCCCUGGAACGGCGGGCCAAAGAGGGUGACAGCCCCGUAGCCGAAAGGGAGGGGACUUCCUGGGCCGCGCUCCCGAGUACCACGGGACACGUGGAACCCCGUGGGAAGCCGGGGGGACCACCCUCCAAGGCUAAAUACUCCUGACGACCGAUAGCGCACGAGUACCGUGAGGGAAAGGUGAAAAGAACCCCGGGAGGGGAGUGAAAUAGAACCUGAAACCGUGUGCCCACAAGCAGUCGGAGGGCUAUGCCGGUCCCGCAAGGGACCGGGAUGCCUGACGGCGUGCCUAUUGAAGAAUGAGCCUGUGAGUUGUCGCGUGUGGCGAGCCUAAGGCCUUCGGGCCGGAGGCGCAGGGAAACCGAGUCUGAACAGGGCGCCGCUCCCGGAAGGGAGGGCGAGGGGGACCUCGCCAGUCGCACGCGGCAGACCCGAAACCGGGUGAGCUACCCAUGGCCAGGGUGAAGCGCGGCUAACCCCGCGUGGAGGCCCGAACCCGUCGGUGUUGCAAAACCGUGGGAUGAGCUGUGGGUAGGGGUGAUAUGCCAAUCGAACCCGGAGAUAGCUGGUUCUCCCCGAAAUGCAUUGAGGUGCAGCCCCGGUGCGGAGCGCCGCGGAGGUAGAGCACUGGAUGGGCUAGGGCGGAAGAAUCCGUACCGAACCCAACCAAACUCCGAAUGCCGCGGCGUGCUCGCCGGGAGUGAGACGGUGGGGGAUAAGCUCCAUCGUCGAGAGGGGAACAGCCCAGACCGUCGGCUAAGGUCCCUAAGUCCCAGCUCAGUGGGAAAGGAAGUGGCACCGCCCAGACAGCCGGGAGGUUGGCUUAGAAGCAGCCAUCCUUUAAAGAGUGCGUAAUAGCUCACCGGUCGAGUGGUGCUGCGCCGAAAACGUAACGGGGCUAAGCUGGGCACCGAAGCCACGGGUUCGGCGCGGGCGCGGCUCGCGCCGAGCGGUAGGGGAGCGUUCUGCCGUAGGGGGAAGCCGGACCGUGAGGACCGGUGGACGAGGCAGAAGUGAGAAUGCAGGCAUGAGUAGCGAAAAGGCGGGUGAGAAUCCCGCCCCCCGUAAGCCUAAGGGUUCUUACGGAAGGUUCGUCCGCGUAAGGUUAGGCGGGAGCUAAGGCGAGGCCGAAAGGCGUAGCCGAUGCACAGCCGGUCGACAUUCCGGCCCCGCUCGGAGUUCGUUACGAGCCGCGGAGGGACGCAGAAGGGUAGCUCUACCGGCGACCGGAAGUGCCGGGCCAACCGGGUAGGCUGGGGUCCCAGGCAAAUCCGGGACCCCGUUAAGGCCGAGACGGGAGUGCGAGCGGACUUGAAACGUCCGCGAAGGGAGUGAUCCCACGCUGCCGAGAAAAGCUUCGCGGCCAGAACUCCGGGCGCCCGUACCGCAAACCGACACAGGUAGGCGGGCACUGAAGGUGCCAAGGGGCGCGAGGGAACCCUCCUCAAGGAACUCUGCAAGUUGACCCCGUAACUUCGGGAGAAGGGGUGCCCCGGUAGGGUGAGGUGCUCCGCGCACCGAGCCCGAGGGGGCCGCAGAGAAUAGGCCCAAGCGACUGUUUAACAAAAACACAGGUCUCUGCGAAGCCGCAAGGCGACGUAUAGGGGCUGACGCCUGCCCAGUGCCGGAAGGUAAAGGGGAGGGGUUAGCUCGGCCUUCGGGCCGGGCGAAGCUCCAAACCGAAGCCCCGGUGAACGGCGGCGGUAACUAUAACCGUCCUAAGGUAUCGCCGGAAAGGCGCUGCCUGCCCGCCGGGCAACCGGCGGGGCAAUACCUGGCUAUAUGCGGGGAAGCCCUGAGAGCCCUCCCUACGUUUCCGGCUGGACGCCGGCGUAAAAAUGGCGAGGGAUUGGGCAAUCCGCAGGAAACUCCCGGCUUCACCGCUGGGAGGAUCCUCAGAGGCCAUACGCUGGGCAUCUGGUCGGGAGGCUGGGAUGAAGCUGUCUCCAGAUUGGGUGGCGGGGUUCGCGGACGGCGAAGGCUGUUUUCACGUUUCGAUCCAGCGCCACCCCUCCAUGGCCAUCGGGUAUCAGGUGCUGCCUGAGUUCGUGAUCGUCCAACACCGUCGCGAUAUCCAGGUACUCUACGCCCUGAAACGGUUCUUCGGCUGCGGCGUGGUCCGCCCCGACGACGAAGAUCGCUACGCUUACCGGGUGCGGCGGCUGGAGUGCCUGGAACGCAUCUGCGACUUCUUCCAGCAGCAUCCUCUGAAAACGAGGAAGAACGUCGAGAUGCGUCGGUUCCGAAAAAUCGUCCUCCUGAUGAAGGAGGGGCGGCACCGGACCCGAGAGGGGCUGUUAGAGAUUGUUGAGAUCGCUGCGCAGAUGAACUCCGCGAACCGCCCGGCCCUGAAGCAGAUCCGCCAGGAGCUCCUGGCCAGAUGAAGAGAUGGUCCACCCCGUGGCGAAAGUCACGGAACACGGUGAGCGAAAUUCCUUGUCGGGUAAGUUCCGACCUGCACGAAAGGCGUAACGACUUGGGCGCUGUCUCGAGGAGGGGCUCGGCGAAGGUGUACCACCCGUGAAGAUACGGGUUUCCCGCAGCUGGACGGAAAGACCCCGUGGAGCUUUACUGCAGCCUGAUACUGGAUGUGGUUUUGGCAUGUAUAGGAUAGGUGGGAGGCUGGGAAGCGGGGGCGCCAGCUCCCGUGGAGCCACCCUUGGAAUACCACCCUUGUCAGGACUACGUCCUAACCGGGGCCCUACACCGGGUCCUGGGACCGUGUCAGGUGGGCAGUUUGACUGGGGCGGUCGCCUCCUAAAGGGUAACGGAGGCGCCCAAAGGUCCCCUCAGCACGGUUGGAAACCGUGCGUCGAGUGCAAGGGCAUAAGGGGGCUUGACUGCGAGACCCACAAGUCGAGCAGGGGCGAAAGCCGGGCCUAGUGAUCCUACGGCGGCAAGUGGAAGCGCCGUGGCUUAACGGAUAAAAGCUACCCCGGGGAUAACAGGCUGAUCUCCCCCAAGAGUCCACAUCGACGGGGAGGUUUGGCACCUCGAUGUCGGCUCAUCCCAUCCUGGGGGGGCAGUACCUCCCAAGGGUUGGGCUGUUCGCCCAUUAAAGGGGUACGUGAGCUGGGUUCAGACCGUCGACGGAGGCGGCCCAGGCGGGUAACCGCCUGUGGAAAAACCGGCUCAUAACGGGGAAGCCCUCCGGGUCCACCGACCGGAUGCCGAGGGUGACCCCGUGGGAAGGUGAAGGCAGUGGACGAGACCACGAAGGCCUACGUAGCGGGGUUCCUGGACGGCGACGGAAGUGUAAUGUUGCAACUGAAGCCAAGGCGUGACUACCGUUACGGCUUCCAGAUCAAGGCGACGAUCAGUUUCUACCAAGACCGACGGAGCCGACACGUCCUAGAGUGGUGGCGUGCGCAACUGGGAGUUGGCUCCGUACGGAACCGACCGGACGGCAUCUGUCAGUACGAUAUCGAGGGCGUGGAUGCCGUCAGUCGGGUCCUGGUAGAAGUCGCUCCGUACAUCGUGGCGAAGAAGCAGCAGGUCGAGACAGCGGUGCGGUUGCUCUGCGAGAUCCGGCAGAGUCCGCGACCGUCGCCACAGGAGUUCUUGGAGUGGGCCGAGCGGGUGGAGUCCUACCAGCGCCUAAACUACUCGAAGCGCCCGCGGUACGGGACAGAAGACGUACGGCGGGAGCUGGUAGCACGGCGCGCCUUCACCCCCGUAACGACUGAGGCCGUGGAGGCCGAGGCUCGGGCGGCGACCAGACAGGAACCCAUCGCCCGGGCAACACGCCGGCACCCCCGAAAGGGGGUGGUGGGAUAGUCUACCCCCCGAGGAAACUCGGGGAGACGGUGCGUGAGACAGGUCGGUCCCUAUCCACUGCGGGCGUCGGUGGCUUGAGGGGGGCUGCUCCUAGUACGAGAGGACCGGAGUGGACGCACCUCUGGUGUACCGGUUGUCGCGCCAGCGGCACGCGCCGGGUAGCCAUGUGCGGUCGUGAUAAGCGCUGAAAGCAUCUAAGCGCGAAGCACGCCCCAAGAUGAGGCCACCCACCGGGUCAACCGGGUAAGGCCCCAGGUAGACGACCUGGUAGAUAGGCCGGAGGUGGAAGCGCGGCAACGCGUGAAGCCGACCGGUACUAAUCGGCCGA